RNAcentral lists this ribosomal RNA (346 nucleotides) under uncultured bacterium. RNAcentral's name for it is "partial 16S ribosomal RNA". It matches the Rfam family "Bacterial small subunit ribosomal RNA", at positions 338 to 700 of the family's 1533-position model. The record is from RNAcentral.
CCUACGGGUGGCAGCAGUGGGGAAUAUUGCACAAUGGGGGAAACCCUGAUGCAGCAACGCCGCGUGAAGGAAGACGGUUUUCGGAUUGUAAACGUCUGUUCGUAGUGAAGAAGAAUGACGGAAGCUAAGGAGCAAGCCACGGCUAACUACGUGCCAGCAGCCGCGGUAAUACGUAGGUGGCAAGCGUUGUCCGGAAUUACUGGGUGGAACGGGAGCGCAGGCGGGAAGCCAAGUCAGCGGUGAAAACUACGGGCUUAACUUGUAGACUGCAGUUGCAACUGGUUUUCUUGAGUGAAGUAGCGGUUGGCGUAAUUCCGAGUGUAGCGGUUCACUGCGUUGAUCUUCG